UACGUAGGCAGCAAGCGUUGUUCGGAAUUACUGGGCGUAAAGAGCGUGUAGGCGGUGUUCCAAGUCUGGUGUGAAAUCUCCCGGCUUAACUGGGAGGGUGCAUUAGAAACUGGAAUGCUAGAGGAUGGGAGAGGUAAGCGGAAUUCCUGGUGUAGCGGUGAAAUGCGUAGAUAUCAGGAGGAACACCUGUGGUGUAGACAGCUUACUGGACCAUUUCUGACGCUGAGACACGAAAGCGUGGGUAGCAAACAGG
Molecule: ribosomal RNA, 253 nt
Filed under: uncultured bacterium
Lineage: Bacteria
Description: partial 16S ribosomal RNA
Rfam family: Bacterial small subunit ribosomal RNA
Source: RNAcentral